This 512-nucleotide ribosomal RNA is filed under the name uncultured bacterium. RNAcentral describes it as "partial 16S ribosomal RNA". It matches the Rfam family "Bacterial small subunit ribosomal RNA", at positions 28 to 523 of the family's 1533-position model. The record is from RNAcentral.
GAUGAACGCUGGCGGCAUGCCUAAUACAUGCAAGUCGAACGAGAGGAAGGAAAGCUUGCUUUUCUGAAUCUAGUGGCGAACGGGUGAGUAACACGUAGGUAACCUGCCCAUGUGCCCGGGAUAACUUCUGGAAACGGAUGCUAAAACCGGAUAGGUAGCAGACAAGCAUUUGACUGCUAUUAAAGUGGCUAAGGCCAUGAACAUGGAUGGACCUGCGGUGCAUUAGCUAGUUGGUGAGGUAACGGCCCACCAAGGCGACGAUGCAUAGCCGGCCUGAGAGGGCGGACCGCCACAUUGGGACUGAGACACGGCCCAAACUCCUACGUGAGGCAGCAGUAGGGAAUUUUCGUCAAUGGGGGGAACCCUGAACGUGCAAUGCCGCGUGAGUGAGGAAGGUCUUCGGAUCGUAAAGCUCUGUUGUAAGAGAAAAACGACAUUCAUAGGGAAUGAUGAGUGAGUGAUGGUAUCUUACCAGAAAGUCACGGCUAACUACGUGCCAGCCGCCGCAGUAA